This 69-nucleotide transfer RNA is filed under the name Hyperolius marmoratus (marbled rush frog). Its description in RNAcentral is "tRNA-Trp". It matches the Rfam family "tRNA". Rfam says of the family: Transfer RNA (tRNA) molecules are approximately 80 nucleotides in length. Their secondary structure includes four short double-helical elements and three loops (D, anti-codon, and T loops). The record is from RNAcentral. Lineage: Eukaryota; Metazoa; Chordata; Amphibia; Anura; Hyperoliidae.
AGAAAUUUAGGAUAAUUAAACCAAGAGCCUUCAAAGCUCUCAAUAGAGGCUAAAACCCUUUAAUUUCUG